UUGCAGUGAGCUGGGAUGGUCCCCUCCAUGGGUUUCACACCAGAGCCCAGAGAAAGCACCGUUGGAGUUGUGAGCCAACGGCAAUACGGUGCCUGACAGCUAGGGUGUUUUCCCCGUGGCUGUGACACAUUCCUACCAGGCUAGGGCUCUGUGAAGCCUUUCCCAAUCCCCUUUAUCUGAUCUAAACACAUCAUAUCUAUGCCUACUCCUACUGAAGUUUAAAAAAGGGAUGGAGGAGAGACAGAAGUUGUUAACAGUUAGUGCACUGUGAUGUGGGGGUUAUGCCUGGGAGAGUUUCCAGUUUGGGCUGGACAUUUCCUGAACCUGAUGCUGAGCCUCCAGCAGAAGCUAAGACUUCUCCAUGUUCUUGGUAGAUUUCCUGAUGUGGAAGUAUCUUCCGACUGCAAAGCCCUCCCUUUGGAUUGCUUCAUUCUUUGGGGAGUUGUUUCUGAUGUGUCAUCGGCAUGCUGGUGUGGAGAGAGAUGUCAUCUUUCUGAGAACUCAGAAUGACAGCACACACUCGUAUGAACUAAAUUUGUAAUGUCUGAUCGCACAGCUUCUGAUAGAGUUAGGCACUGAAAAACAAGCUUAACUUGCAACAUACACAUAGAGCUAAUUUGAGAUUUGAGCACUCAUGGGUGCUCAAAGCCUUGUAGGUUUAAGUCUUUGAGUAUUGCAAAAGCUGAUGCCAUCUUUUAUGCAAAAGAAUAGAAGGGAUUCCUGACUGGGUCUCGUAUUCAAAAUCUUUAGUUGCAAUCAAAUACAGCUUGAUAUGAAGAAAAACAUGGUCUUGAAGUAGCAAAGGCAUCAUAUUUGGGCAUGUGCUAGAAAAGUGAUACCAAUAGUUUACUUAAUGAAGCUGAGCACCCUAGCUAAUUAAAAUUUUGACUCAAGGUUGCAUGUGUUAGUUUUCCUAGGACCUUAAAUUGUAACGACACUAGUAUUUACUUGUAUACUUGUAUUACAAAAUAUAUCAUGGUUUUCUGAGCAAUUUGAGUCUAUCAUCAAAUACCAUUCGUAGAACAGUAUGAAAAAGAGAAUAAAAAAAAACAUUUCUACUAACA
RNAcentral lists this long non-coding RNA (1064 nucleotides) under Anser cygnoides (Swan goose). Its description in RNAcentral is "lncRNA (ENSACDG00005013549.1)". Lineage: Eukaryota; Metazoa; Chordata; Aves; Anseriformes; Anatidae. The record is from RNAcentral.